Molecule: ribosomal RNA, 594 nt
Filed under: uncultured fungus
Lineage: Eukaryota; Fungi
Description: eukaryotic LSU rRNA
Rfam family: 5.8S ribosomal RNA (bases 226-379)
Source: RNAcentral
AGUCGUAACAAGGUUUCCGUAGGUGAACCUGCGGAAGGAUCAUUAAAGAGUAAGGGUGCUCAGCGCCCGACCUCCAACCCUUUGUUGUUAAAACUACCUUGUUGCUUUGGCGGGACCGCUCGGUCUCGAGCCGCUGGGGAUUCGUCCCAGGCGAGCGCCCGCCAGAGUUAAACCAAACUCUUGUUAUUAAACCGGUCGUCUGAGUUAAAAUUUUGAAUAAAUCAAAACUUUCAACAACGGAUCUCUUGGUUCUCGCAUCGAUGAAGAACGCAGCGAAAUGCGAUAAGUAAUGUGAAUUGCAGAAUUCAGUGAAUCAUCGAAUCUUUGAACGCACAUUGCGCCCCUUGGUAUUCCGAGGGGCAUGCCUGUUCGAGCGUCAUUACACCACUCAAGCUAUGCUUGGUAUUGGGUGCCGUCCUUAGUUGGGCGCGCCUUAAAGACCUCGGCGAGGCCUCACCGGCUUUAGGCGUAGUAGAAUUUAUUCGAACGUCUGUCAAAGGAGAGGACUUCUGCCGACUGAAACCUUUUAUUUUUCUAGGUUGACCUCGGAUCAGGUAGGGAUACCCGCUGAACUUAAGCAUAUCAUAAAAGUCG